GACGAACGCUGGCGGCGUGCUUAACACAUGCAAGUCGAACGGAAAGGCCUCUUUCGGGGGGUACUCGAGUGGCGAACGGGUGAGUAACACGUGAGUAACCUGCCCUUGACUUUGGGAUAACUUCAGGAAACUGGGGCUAAUACCGGAUAGGAGCUCCUGCUGCAUGGUGGGGGUUGGACAGUUUCGGCGGUUGGGGAUGGACUCGCGGCGUAUCAGCGUGUUUGUGGGGUAUUGGCUUACCAAGGCUUUGACGGGUAGCCGGCCUGAGAGGGUGACCGGCAACAAUGGGACUGAGAGACGGCCCAGAAUCCUACGGGAGGGAGAAGGGGGGAAAAAUGAACAAGGGGUGGAAGCCGGAUGCAGAAACGCCGUGAGCGGGAGGACGGCCUUAGGGUUGAAAACCGCGUUCGCUCAUGACGAAGCUUUGUGUGACGGUAGUGGGUAAAGAAGCACCGGCUAACUACGUG
RNAcentral lists this ribosomal RNA (467 nucleotides) under uncultured bacterium. Its description in RNAcentral is "partial 16S ribosomal RNA". It matches the Rfam family "Bacterial small subunit ribosomal RNA", at positions 28 to 507 of the family's 1533-position model. The record is from RNAcentral.